This 494-nucleotide ribosomal RNA is filed under the name uncultured bacterium. RNAcentral's name for it is "partial 16S ribosomal RNA". It matches the Rfam family "Bacterial small subunit ribosomal RNA", at positions 28 to 507 of the family's 1533-position model. The record is from RNAcentral.
GACGAACGCUGGCGGCGCGCUUAACACAUGCAAGUCGAACGGAAAGGCCUGCUUUCCCUUGUGGAUUGCGGGUACUCGAGUGGCGAACGGGUGAGUAACACGUGAGUGAUCUGCCCCCAACUUGGGUAUAAGCCUGGGAAACUGGGUCUAAUUCCCGAUAGGACUGCAGGGUGGUGCCUGUGGUGGAAAACGAUUUUCUAGUGGUUGGGGAUGAGCUCGCGGCCUAUCAGCUUGUUGUUGGGGUAAUGGCCUACCAAGGCGGCGACGGGUAGCCGGCCUGAGAGGGUGGACGGCCACAUUGGGACUGAGAUACGGCCCAGACUCCUACGGGAGGCAGCAGUGGGGAAUAUUGGACAAUGGGCGUAAGCCUGAUGCAGCGACGCCGCGUGGGGGAUGACGGCCUUCGGGUUGUAAACUCCUUUCGACCGCGAGGAAGCCACCUGGUUGGAAGGGUGGUGACGGUAGUGGUAGAAGAAGCACCGGCUAACUACGUG